AACCACUUCAAAGGACCGAUUUGGCAUUCUUGUCUUCUUUUUGUCAGGUCCUGGACAAUUGGUUCACACUUGGAGCGAAACUCUAAGCAGGUCAUCUUGAUACACUCUUGAGCAAGAACAACAAGUUCUUCAGCCAUCUUUUGUCCAUCCAGAGGCAAGGAUUCAUUCUUCUGUACAAUUUCUACAACCUCCUGCAAGAAACCACCUAGCUCUGUG
This 216-nucleotide unclassified non-coding RNA is filed under the name Hevea brasiliensis (rubber tree). Lineage: Eukaryota; Viridiplantae; Streptophyta; Magnoliopsida; Malpighiales; Euphorbiaceae. The record is from RNAcentral.